CCCGUCCCUCCGGCCCGUCGCCCCUCGGGCCGCGGCCGCACGGCCCGACCCGGCGGGCGGAGGACAAAACCCGGCGCGGCGCGCGCCAAGGAACGACCGUCGGAACAGGGCUCCGCCCCCGCCCGCGCGGCGGGGCGGCGCCUCGCUCUACUCGAAACUAUACGACUCUCGGCAACGGAUAUCUCGGCUCUCGCAUCGAUGAAGAACGUAGCGAAAUGCGAUACUUGGUGUGAAUUGCAGAAUCCCGCGAACCAUCGAGUCUUUGAACGCAAGUUGCGCCCGAGGCCAUCCGGCCGAGGGCACGCCUGCCUGGGCGUCACGCAUCGCGUCGCUCCGCGCCCCACGGGCGCCGGACGCGGAGAUUGGCCCCCCGCGCGCGAGCGCGGCGGGCCUAAGCACGGGCCGCCGGCGGGGACGGGCACGGCGAGUGGUGGACGGAAGCGCGGACUCCGCGCACGCGAGCCGGACGCCGUGGCACCCGGCCCCCAGCGGCACAGGGCCCUUCGGAACCCCACAGGGCGCGCGAGCCCUCCCCCGGGACGGGCGAGCCGCCUCGCACUGCGACCCCAGGUCAGGCGGGGCCACCCGCCGAGUUUAAGCAUAUCAAUAAGCGGAGGAGAAGAAACUUACGAGGAUUCCCC
This 641-nucleotide ribosomal RNA is filed under the name Smilax china. Its description in RNAcentral is "eukaryotic LSU rRNA". The stretch from base 164 to 319 matches the Rfam family "5.8S ribosomal RNA". The record is from RNAcentral. Lineage: Eukaryota; Viridiplantae; Streptophyta; Magnoliopsida; Liliales; Smilacaceae.